Molecule: ribosomal RNA, 806 nt
Filed under: uncultured Mycobacterium sp.
Lineage: Bacteria; Bacillati; Actinomycetota; Actinomycetes; Mycobacteriales; Mycobacteriaceae
Description: bacterial SSU rRNA
Rfam family: Bacterial small subunit ribosomal RNA
Source: RNAcentral
CGAGCGUUGUCCGGAAUUACUGGGCGUAAAGAGCUCGUAGGUGGUUUGUCGCGUUGUUCGUGAAAUCUCACGGCUUAACUGUGAGCGUGCGGGCGAUACGGGCAGACUUGAGUACUGCAGGGGAGACUGGAAUUCCUGGUGUAGCGGUGGAAUGCGCAGAUAUCAGGAGGAACACCGGUGGCGAAGGCGGGUCUCUGGGCAGUAACUGACGCUGAGGAGCGAAAGCGUGGGGAGCGAACAGGAUUAGAUACCCUGGUAGUCCACGCCGUAAACGGUGGGUACUAGGUGUGGGUUUCCUUCCUUGGGAUCCGUGCCGUAGCUAACGCAUUAAGUACCCCGCCUGGGGAGUACGGCCGCAAGGCUAAAACUCAAAGAAAUUGACGGGGGCCCGCACAAGCGGCGGAGCAUGUGGAUUAAUUCGAUGCAACGCGAAGAACCUUACCUGGGUUUGACAUGCACAGGACGCCGGCAGAGAUGUCGGUUCCCUUGUGGCCUGUGUGCAGGUGGUGCAUGGCUGUCGUCAGCUCGUGUCGUGAGAUGUUGGGUUAAGUCCCGCAACGAGCGCAACCCUUGUCUCAUGUUGCCAGCGGGUGAUGCCGGGGACUCGUGAGAGACUGCCGGGGUCAACUCGGAGGAAGGUGGGGAUGACGUCAAGUCAUCAUGCCCCUUAUGUCCAGGGCUUCACACAUGCUACAAUGGCCGGUACAAAGGGCUGCGAUGCCGCGAGGUUAAGCGAAUCCUUUUAAAGCCGGUCUCAGUUCGGAUCGGGGUCUGCAACUCGACCCCGUGAAGUCGGAGUCGCUAGU